Molecule: non-coding RNA, 30 nt
Filed under: Rattus norvegicus (Norway rat)
Lineage: Eukaryota; Metazoa; Chordata; Mammalia; Rodentia; Muridae
Source: RNAcentral
UGGCUUAUUUCAAAGCAGAUGAUUAAUCAA